RNAcentral lists this ribosomal RNA (529 nucleotides) under uncultured bacterium. RNAcentral's name for it is "bacterial SSU rRNA". It matches the Rfam family "Bacterial small subunit ribosomal RNA", at positions 777 to 1304 of the family's 1533-position model. The record is from RNAcentral.
AAUAGAUACCCCGGUAGUCCACGCCGUAAACGAUGAGUGCUAAGUGUUAGAGGGUUUCCGCCCUUUAGUGCUGCAGCUAACGCAUUAAGCACUCCGCCUGGGGAGUACGGCCGCAAGGCUGAAACUCAAAGGAAUUGACGGGGGCCCGCACAAGCGGUGGAGCAUGUGGUUUAAUUCGAAGCAACGCGAAGAACCUUACCAGGUCUUGACAUCCUCUGCCAACCCUAGAGAUAGGGCGUUCCCCUUCGGGGGACAGAGUGACAGGUGGUGCAUGGUUGUCGUCAGCUCGUGUCGUGAGAUGUUGGGUUAAGUCCCGCAACGAGCGCAACCCUUGAUCUUAGUUGCCAGCAUUCAGUUGGGCACUCUAAGGUGACUGCCGGUGACAAACCGGAGGAAGGUGGGGAUGACGUCAAAUCAUCAUGCCCCUUAUGACCUGGGCUACACACGUGCUACAAUGGAUGGUACAAAGAGCUGCGAACCCGUGAGGGUAAGCGAAUCUCAUAAAGCCAUUCUCAGUUCGGAUUGUAGG